AUGGAGAAGGUUGAAGCACUCGAAGACAUGGUUUCAUUUUCUCCUUCCAUUCUUAUCAACGGUGUUGCUGCUGUUUCCACUACUGCAGUUUUGAGUACGAAGAGUCCGACAGCAACUUCACCUACUCAGGCUGCUUCUUGGCAGUGCAAAGUUAGCAGACCAAGCCACACAACCAACCAAUCAAAAAAUGGUGCCCGGCAUACCAUGCUCCAGGAAAGGAGGUCAUGUGCUUGA
This 234-nucleotide ribosomal RNA is filed under the name Triticum aestivum (bread wheat). RNAcentral's name for it is "partial small subunit ribosomal RNA". The record is from RNAcentral. Lineage: Eukaryota; Viridiplantae; Streptophyta; Magnoliopsida; Poales; Poaceae.